CUCAUGUCAAUCAAGAAACAUUAUUCUGGAGCUGAUGAUGCUGAGGCGAUUUUUUUGAAUUUCCAGUCAAAUUUUUUAGGUCGUAAAGGAUAUUUGCCCCGUUGGCGCCUUUUUUAAACUCCAUUUUAAAAAAUAAAUACAGAAAAUAAAAGAAGCUACAAAUUUAUCAUUGAUUCAAGAAGCUAAAGAUUUAUUAUUGAUUCAAGAAGCUAAAGAUUUAAAAAUACAGAAAAUAAAAGAAAAGAUUUAUCAUUGAUUCAAGAAGCUAAUCAUUGAUUCAAGAAGCUAAAGAUUUAAAAACAGAAAAUAAAAGAAGCUAAAGAUUUAUUAUUGAUUCAAGAAGCUAAAGAUUUAUUAUUGAUUCAAGAAGCUAAUCAUUGAAUCAAGAAGCUAAAGAUUUAAAAACAGAAAAUAAAAGAAGGCUAAAGAUUUAUCAUUGAUUCAAGAAGCUAAAGAUUUAUUAUUGAUUCAAGAAGCUAAAGAUUUAUCAUUGAUUCAAGAAGCUAAAGAUUUAAAAACAGAUGUUACAAGAAAAGGUAUAGUUAAAAAAAAAAUUAUUUAUAUAUUUAUCAAGAUGACACAAUUAAAUCAGGACAGAAAAAAUGUUAAUACUUUUAAAAAUUUAAUAUUCCUUUUUUUUUAGAUGAGGAUGAAAAUUUUCAAGAACCAGCUAUUAAAAAUCUAAAGCUUAAUGCGGAAGAAAAUCAUAUGAAGGUUAUGAAUAUACUAAAUUCGAUAGUUGGAGAGGAUUAUAAUUGUAUAAACAAAAAAGAUGAUGGAGUUAAGACACCAGAAAAAGCAUAGAAAAUGCUAGAGCAUAAUGACAUUCGACCUUUUGGUGCCCCGCCGGAGAGGAAGGGCAUAGCUCAAAAUGCCGUUUAUGGUACAGAGGUGGAGAUAGUUGCAAUGACAACUAUGCUCCAGACAAAUAUUUUAAUACAUACUAUUUAUAAAUGGGCAUACUAUAUGCCCAUUAAAAAAUUAAGUAAUAUUAAAAAAUUUAAUGUAAAUAUUUAUUUAAUAAAUCAUAGCGAACAUAUU
Molecule: long non-coding RNA, 1041 nt
Organism: Gordionus sp. m RMFG-2023
Lineage: Eukaryota; Metazoa; Nematomorpha; Gordioida; Chordodea; Parachordodidae
Exons: 9
Source: RefSeq, a predicted model, not a curated record